UACUGGCGGUGUUGGGGGAAUCAGACUUACUUGAAAAAUAGAAGUGUUCAAGCAGCUGCUCGAUACGUAGCAUGAUAUUAAAUAGGGCGUGCGUUCUAUUUGUGUUCUAGAGACGCGCAUGAUACAGGACAGUCGGGGGCAUCAGUAUCAGUUGUCAGAGGUGAAAUUCUUGGAUCUACUGAAGACUAACUACUGCGAAAGCAUUUGCCAAGGAUGUUUUCAUUAAUCAGUGAACGAAAGUUAGGGGAUCGAAGACGAUCAGAUACCGUCGUAGUCUUAACCGUAAACUAUGCCGACUAGGGAUCGGGCGAUGUUCUUUUUCUGACUCGCUCGGCACCUUACGAGAAAUCAAAGUUUUUGGGUUCUGGGGGGAUUAUGGUCGCAAGGCUGAAACUUAAAGAAAUUGACGGAAGGUCACCACCAGGCGUGGAGCCUGCGGCUUAAUUUGACUCAACACGGGGAAACUCACCAGGUUCAGAUGAAAUAAGGAUUGACUGAUUGAGAGCUCUUUCUUGAUUUUUCAGGUGGUGGUGCAUGGCCGUUCUUAGUUCGUGGGGUGACUUGUCUGCUUAAUUGCGAUAACGAGCGAGACCUUACUCUGCUAAAUAGCCAGGCUAGCUUUGGCUGGUCGCCGGCUUCUUAGAGAGACUAUCAACUCAAGUUGAUGGAAGUUUGAGGCAAUAACAGGUCUGUGAUGCCCUUAGAUAUUCUGGGCCCCACGCGCGCUACACUGACAGAGCCAACGAGUUCUUUCCCUUGGCCGAAAGGUCUGGGUAAUCUUGUUAAACUCUGUCGUGCUGGGGAUAAAGCAUUGCAAUUAUUGCUUUUCAACGAGGAAUGCCUAGUAAGCGCGUGUCAUCAGCAUGCGUUGAUUACGUCCCUGACCUUUGCACACACCGCCCGUC
This 905-nucleotide ribosomal RNA is filed under the name uncultured fungus. Its description in RNAcentral is "SSU rRNA". It matches the Rfam family "Eukaryotic small subunit ribosomal RNA", at positions 726 to 1677 of the family's 1831-position model. The record is from RNAcentral. Lineage: Eukaryota; Fungi.